AUUGAACGCUGGCGGCAUGCUUUACACAUGCAAGUCGAACGGUAACAUGGUGCUUGCACCGCUGACGAGUGGCGAACGGGUGAGUAAUGCGUCGGAACGUGCCGAGUAGUGGGGGAUAACGCAUCGAAAGGUGUGCUAAUACCGCAUACGUACUGAGGUAGAAAGUGGGGGACCUUCGGGCCUCACGCUAUUCGAGCGGCCGACGUCUGAUUAGCUAGUUGGUGAGGUAAAGGCUCACCAGGGCGACGAUCAGUAGCGGGUCUGAGAGGAUGAGCCGCCACACUGGGACUGAGACACGGCCCAGACUCCUACGGGAGGCAGCAGUGGGGAAUUUUGGACAAUGGGCGCAAGCCUGAUCCAGCCAUGCCGCGUGUCUGAAGAAGGCCUUCGGGUUGUAAAGGACUUUUGUCCGGGAGCAAAUACCCAGUGCUAAUAACGCUGGGGGCUGAGAGUACCGGAAGAAUAAGCACCGGCUAACUACGUGCCAGCCGCCGCAGUAA
This 500-nucleotide ribosomal RNA is filed under the name uncultured bacterium. Its description in RNAcentral is "partial 16S ribosomal RNA". It matches the Rfam family "Bacterial small subunit ribosomal RNA", at positions 30 to 523 of the family's 1533-position model. The record is from RNAcentral.